UGGGGAAUAUUGCACAAUGGGCGCAAGCCUGAUGCAGCCAUGCCGCGUGUGUGAAGAAGGCCUUCGGGUUGUAAAGCACUUUCAGCGAGGAGGAAGGUGGUGAGCUUAAUACGCUCAUCAAUUGACGUUACUCGCAGAAGAAGCACCGGCUAACUCCGUGCCAGCAGCCGCGGUAAUACGGAGGGUGCAAGCGUUAAUCGGAAUUACUGGGCGUAAAGCGCACGCAGGCGGUUUGUUAAGUCAGAUGUGAAAUCCCCGGGCUCAACCUGGGAACUGCAUUUGAAACUGGCAAGCUAGAGUCUCGUAGAGGGGGGUAGAAUUCCAGGUGUAGCGGUGAAAUGCGUAGAGAUCUGGAGGAAUACCGGUGGCGAAGGCGGCCCCCUGGACGAAGACUGACGCU
This 400-nucleotide ribosomal RNA is filed under the name uncultured bacterium. Its description in RNAcentral is "bacterial SSU rRNA". It matches the Rfam family "Bacterial small subunit ribosomal RNA", at positions 355 to 747 of the family's 1533-position model. The record is from RNAcentral.